AUUAGCCAUGCAUGUCUCAGUGCAAGCCAAACUAAGGUGAAACCGCGAAUGGCUCAUUAAAUCAGUUAUGGUUCCUUAGAUCGUACCAAAUUACUUGGAUAACUGUGGUAAUUCUAGAGCUAAUACAUGCAAACAGAGUCCCGACCAGAAAUGGAAGGGACGCUUUUAUUAGAUCAAAACCAAUCGGUCGGCUCGUCCGGUCCGUUUGCCUUGGUGACUCUGAAUAACUUUGGGCUGAUCGCACGGUCCUGGUACCGGCGACGCAUCUUUCAAAUGUCUGCCUUAUCAACUGUCGAUGGUAGGUUCUGCGCCUACCAUGGUUGUAACGGGUAACGGGGAAUCAGGGUUCGAUUCCGGAGAGGGAGCCUGAGAAACGGCUACCACAUCCAAGGAAGGCAGCAGGCGCGCAAAUUACCCACUCCCGGCACGGGGAGGUAGUGACGAAAAAUAACGAUACGGGACUCAUCCGAGGCCCCGUAAUCGGAAUGAAUACACUUUAAAUCCUUUAAUGAGUAUCCAUUGGAGGGCAAGUCUGGUGCCAGCAGCCGCGGUAAUUCCAGCUCCAAUAGCGUAUAUUAAAGUUGUUGCGGUUAAAAAGCUCGUAGUUGGAUUUGUGUCCCACGCUGUCGGUUCAUCGCUCGUCGGUGUCUAACUGGCAUGAUUCGUGGGACGUCCUGCCGGUGGUGGCGAGUCGAAGGCGUGCAGCCUUAGUGGUUUCCACUUUGGGUCUUGUGCGCCGGAGGCGGACCCCGAUGAAAUCCUACCGCGGUGCUCUUUGCCGAGUGUCGAGGUGGGCCGGCACGUUUACUUUGAACAAAUUAGAGUGCUUAAAGCANGCCUGUUGCGCCUGAAUACUGUGUGCAUGGAAUAAUGGAAUAGGACCUCGGUUCUAUUUUUGUUGGUUUUCGGAACCCCGAGGUAAUGAUUAAUAGGGACAGGCGGGGGCAUUUCGUAUUGCGACGUUAAAGUGAAAUUCUUUGGAUCGUCCCAAGACGGAACCGAACCGAAGGCAUUUGCCCAGUAUGUUUUUCAUUAAUCAAGAACGAAAGCUUAUAGGUU
RNAcentral lists this ribosomal RNA (1059 nucleotides) under Elimaea fallax. RNAcentral describes it as "SSU rRNA". It matches the Rfam family "Eukaryotic small subunit ribosomal RNA", at positions 44 to 999 of the family's 1831-position model. Lineage: Eukaryota; Metazoa; Arthropoda; Insecta; Orthoptera; Tettigoniidae. The record is from RNAcentral.